CCGUGAAAUUGGGGUCAAAAGUUUAAUUUGGCUUUAAAAUGAGAAAGAUCAUAUCAUAAGCAACAAGUCUACUAAGUUUCAAGUUGAUUGGACUUCAGCUUCAUCAAAAACUACCUUGACCAAAAACUUUAACCUGAACGGACGGACGCACAGACGGACGCAUAGACGAACGGAGCCACAGACCAGAAAACAUAAUGCCCCUCUACUAUCGUA
RNAcentral lists this long non-coding RNA (213 nucleotides) under Mytilus galloprovincialis (Mediterranean mussel). Lineage: Eukaryota; Metazoa; Mollusca; Bivalvia; Mytilida; Mytilidae. The record is from RNAcentral.